GAUGAAGAACGUAGCGAAAUGCGAUAAGUAAUGUGAAUUGCAGAAUUCAGUGAAUCAUCGAAUCUUUGAAUGCACAUUGCGCCCGCCAGUAUUCUGGCGGGCAUGCCUGUUCGAGCGUCAUUUCAACCAUCAAGCCCCAGGCUUGUGUUGGGGACCUGCGGCUGCCGCAGGCCCUGAAAACCAGUGGCGGGCUCGCUGUCACACCGGGCGUAGUAGAUUUUAUCUCGCUCAGGGCGUGCUGCGGGUCCCGGCCGUUAAAAGCCUUUUUUUACCCAAGGUUGACCUCGGAUCAGGUAGGAAGACCCGCUGAACUUAAGCAUAUCAAUAAGCGGAGGA
Molecule: unclassified non-coding RNA, 336 nt
Filed under: soil metagenome
Description: partial contains 5.8S ribosomal RNA, internal transcribed spacer 2, and large subunit ribosomal RNA
Rfam family: 5.8S ribosomal RNA (bases 1-120)
Source: RNAcentral